This 1364-nucleotide ribosomal RNA is filed under the name metagenome. Its description in RNAcentral is "bacterial LSU rRNA". It matches the Rfam family "Bacterial large subunit ribosomal RNA", at positions 1551 to 2925 of the family's 2925-position model. The record is from RNAcentral.
AAAGGACAAGCUGUGAUGGGGAGCGAAAUUUAGUAGCGAAGUUCCUGAUGUCACACUGCCAAGAAAAGCUUCUAGUGAGAAAGUAACUGCCCGUACCGCAAACCGACACAGGUAGUUGAGGAGAGAAUCCUAAGGUGUGCGAGAGAACUCUCGUUAAGGAACUCGGCAAAAUGACCCCGUAACUUCGGGAGAAGGGGUGCUGACCGCAAGGUCAGCCGCAGUGAAUAGGCCCAAGCGACUGUUUAUCAAAAACACAGGUCUCUGCAAAAUCGAAAGAUGACGUAUAGGGGCUGACGCCUGCCCGGUGCUGGAAGGUUAAGAGGAGAGGUUAGCGCAAGCGAAGCUUUGAAUUGAAGCCCCAGUAAACGGCGGCCGUAACUAUAACGGUCCUAAGGUAGCGAAAUUCCUUGUCGGGUAAGUUCCGACCCGCACGAAAGGCGUAACGAUUUGGGCACUGUCUCAACGAGAGACUCGGUGAAAUUAUAGUACCAGUGAAGAUGCUGGUUACCCGCGACAGGACGGAAAGACCCCAUGGAGCUUUACUGCAGUUUGAUAUUGCGUGUUUGUAUCACAUGUACAGGAUAGGUAGGAGCCGAAGAUACCGGGACGCCAGUCUCGGAGGAGGCAACGGUGGGAUACUACCCUUGUGAUAUGACCACUCUAACCCGCUGCUCUUAGCGAGCAGGGAGACAGUGUCAGACGGGUAGUUUGACUGGGGCGGUCGCCUCCAAAAAUGUAACGGAGGCGCCCAAAGGUUCCCUCAGAAUGGUUGGAAAUCAUUCGUAGAGUGUAAAGGCAGAAGGGAGCUUGACUGCGAGACCUACAAGUCGAGCAGGGACGAAAGUCGGGCUUAGUGAUCCGGUGGUUCCGCAUGGAAGGGCCAUCGCUCAACGGAUAAAAGCUACCCUGGGGAUAACAGGCUUAUCUCCCCCAAGAGUUCACAUCGACGGGGAGGUUUGGCACCUCGAUGUCGGCUCAUCGCAUCCUGGGGCUGUAGUCGGUCCCAAGGGUUGGGCUGUUCGCCCAUUAAAGCGGUACGCGAGCUGGGUUCAGAACGUCGUGAGACAGUUCGGUCCCUAUCCGUCGCGGGCGUUGGAAAUUUGAGAGGAGCUGUCCUUAGUACGAGAGGACCGGGAUGGACACACCGCUGGUGUACCAGUUGUUCUGCCAAGAGCAUCGCUGGGUAGCUAUGAGUGGACGGGAUAAACGCUGAAAGCAUCUAAGCGUGAAGCCCCCCUCAAGAUGAGAUUUCCCAUCACUUUAAGUUAGUAAGACCCCUGAGAGAUGAUCAGGUAGAUAGGUUGGGAGUGGAAGUACAGCGAUGUAUGGAGCGGACCAAUACUAAUCGGUCGAGGACUUAACCG